UAACAGAAGUUUUCAUCAUCAUCAUCUUCGUGGUAUAUACAAUCAGGAGGAAUUCAACAAGCAACCGGCAAGUCUCAGCCAUGCUUCCCCUUCCAAACCCGCUCUAUCCUACUACUAUUAGCUAGCUAUAGUAGACAGAGCUAUACUAAUUGGUGCUCCAGCAGCUGAUGUACAUGACCGUCCUCAACCCUCCUCGGCCUUCUCCGCUCUCUCUCUCCGUACGCCGCCGCGGAGCAGGCAGCUUCUUGCCCUGCGAGACGCCGGCGCGUUGGCCUUGGCCGCCUUGUGGANGGACCGCAGCGCGUAGUUCCAGCGGCAGAGUCCGCCCUGGUCCUUGAGCGCCUCCACUGCGCCCACGCUCAUCGCCACCAUCCAAGACGCCUUCGCUGCACCCGCCAUUGGAUCGAUCUCUUCUUUCUUGCUGAGAAUUGGACCGGAUUGUUUGUGAUUUCUUCUUUUGGUUUGCAGUGAACUAUUGUAUGCUGUGUUGAGGAUGAGGAGGAAGGAGAGGGGCGGGUUAUAUAGAGGAGGAGGGCAGGAGGCUGUGGAGAGGAGAAGGACGGGGUUGGGGCGAAACAGGAGGCGCCGCGCGUUGGUUUCCCAGUAUACCGGGUGCUCUGCUCUGCUUGAUUAGGCCGGAAUUCGCAUUCGUCCAGGUUCGGUGGCCCGAGUUGUCUCUGUUCGCGGUAUGGGAGAUGGUUGUCCGUUGCGAGGAGCCCACAUGGGCAGGAGUAACCGAUAAGGACGCGUGUCGCUGCAGAUCCACGCAGGGCCAGUCCUGUAUGGCCUAAUUUUGGGGUUUAUGAAACUUAGACGAUCAGCUGUGAGCUAUUUUUCCUCUCUCAGCAACAGGUAAAACUUCUUCAGAGUAAGGAACAAAGCAAUUCUUUCUGUACUGUACUCCUACCUAUCUCGCUCUCAAAGUUUCAGCAAAAUCUGCCAAAUCUACUACUCCCUCCGUUUCGAAAUGUUUGACACCGUUGACUUUUUAGCACAUGUUUGACCGUUCGUCUUAUUCAAAAAUUUUUGUGAAAUAUGUAAAAUUAUAUGCCNUACAUAAAAAUAUAUUUAACAAUGAAUCAAAUGAUAGAAAAAGAAUUAAUAAUUNCUUAAAUUUUUUGAAUAAGACGAACGGUCAACAUGUGCUAAAAAGUCAACGGCGUCAAACAUUUCGAAACGGAGGGAGUAUAAUAUGAUUCUGGAUCCUGUACUUGCAUUCUUUGGUGAGCGAGUAAACAAGUGAGCAUUUCUUUUCACGCACCAACUCGCAUCGCCCGACGACGUUUUCUUCGGGUGAUGGUGAGAGCGGAGUUGUGGGAGGCUGCUGGACAGGGGAAACCAGAGGCUGGAGCACAUGGUUUUCCAAGAUGUCAGGGGCUUAAUAAUUGCAUAAUACUUCUCGUUCCAGCUUAAUUUAUUGAUGCAUUGCAUUCUGGGUAUGCAAUAGACAGAAGACACCUGUGCUUUUCCGCACCAGUCUGAUGACUCUGAUCCAAUUCCUCCGACUCAAUAUCGUUUAGCACAAACUGGGAAAGAAACUGUAUUGUGAUUUUGCUACAUCAGUUUAAUUUGGUAAAAAAAAGAAUGGCAGAAAUUAGGAUUGGUUGAGUGGUAUAACGAAGGAAACAAGAAGGAAUUAUUCAGAUAGGAGUAUUCAUAGGACUGGAUAAAUUGAUGGCGCCACUGCCUGAUUUUCGUGCGUGGUAAUGUAUUGACAACCUGAUGACUGAUCUCUGAUCAUGAUCUCAUCAGCAAUUCAACUUUCAACGUGGAUGUUUAUUGUUGUAAUCAAAGUGCAGGGUUCAUACUGUCGUAUCAUUUUUGUCAAGAUAAAUACUAGUGGUUCUUCCCCGUCAAAAUCCAAAUCAUGUACAACCAUGAAAAAUGCCUGUCAAAAUCUCUCAAGGCAAAAGCAUUGAUAACCCAUGAGACAUCGAGACAUCAAGUAUACUCAAGUAACAGAAGUUUUCAUCAUCAUCAUCGUGGUAUAUACAACCCGGAGGAAAUUAACAAGCAACCGGCAAGUCUCAGCCAUGGUUGCCACUUCCAAGUUCCAACCUGACUCCUAUAGCAAAGCUAGUAGUAGAAGAGUAGAAGGCACAGCUAUACUAAUUGGUACUCCAGCAGCUGAUGUACAUGACCGUCCUCAACCCUUCCUCGGCCUUCUCCGCUCUCCUCCUCUCCGCCACCGCCGCCGCGGAGGCAGGCAGCUUCUUGCCCCGCGAGACGCCGGCGCGCGCGUUGGCCUUGGCGGCGCGGUGGAUGGACCGCAGCGCGUAGUUCCAGCGGCAGAGCCCCGCCUGGUCCUUGAGCGCCUCCACCGCGCCCACGCUCAUCGCCACCAUCCACGACGCCUUCGCUGCACCCGCCAUCGAUCGACGAUCUCUUCUUGAGCUUCCCGCUGUUAUACUGAUCGCUGAAUUCAGGGGACUAGUAGCGAGCAGUGAAGUACUACUGAUAGGUGAUUGGUGAUUGGUGCUAUGUUUGAUGAGAAUCUGGUGGGGAGUGGACGGUGGGAUUUAUACUUGAACGGGGGAGGGCGACGGGGUCAUUCAGUGGUGCGGGCUGAAUCAGGUGUCCGCGCGCGUUGGUUUUCCCAGAUACCGGGUGCGUCCCGGCUCAGUGGUGGCCCGCCUCGUCUCGUCUAGUCUCGUCUGCUGCAUCAUCGGCACAUCGCGGCGGGGAAGCGGUUUGUCCGUCGCGUCUCGCGUGGGGCGGGGUGCGGGCGGAAAUAAGAUAGGAACAACGUUACGUGACGAGGACUCGUGCCCCACACAACUGUUGCAACUUGCAACAUGGAGUAUGCAACUGGGCUAAUGGGCCUGGAAUUUGGGCCGACGAAGCUGAACGCAGGUAGAGGGCCGAGUCUCACGAAGAUAGAAUUUUUUUCAUUUUUAAUUUUUUUUCUUUUAAUAUUUACAGAAAUAAUCUAUUGGCGCAAAAAAUUACAAAAAUAGACCCUGCCGUCCUAAUGGAGGGCGGCAAGCUGACGUAGCAGACGGCGGCUCGACGGCGCCGUCUGCAAAAAAUUGCAUUUAGCCCCUAAAGUUUGGCUGGUACUUUUUGCAUCUGGACCCCUUGCCGCCCUACUAUAGGGCGGUAAGGGGCCCAGAUGCAAAAAGUACUAGGCCCGGGCUGGCUUUUUUGCAUGGGGCCCCUUGCCGCCCUAAUAGAGAACGGCAAGGGUUUUCGUGAAAAAAACCCUCCCUCCCCCGUCUGUCGUCACCGCCCGUCCCUCCCUCGUUUGCCACGUCAGCUUGCCGCUCUAGUGGAGGGCGGCAGGGUCUAUUUUUGUAAUUUUUUACGCUGAUGGAUUAUUUCUGUAAAUAUUAAAAGAAAAAAAUUUAAAAAUAAAAAAAAUUCCACGAAGAUAUACAAGUGCCCUAUUGUGUCAAGCUUUUCGAUGCACAUGUCACACUCCAGUAAUCACGCGGUCGACACGAGGGAAUAUCCGUGUGAUUUUGGCUGCGCUCCCGGCUGUCGGCCUGUACGGCUGUGUGAUCUCCGAUCCGGGUGCUGGAAAUGCAGCGUUCUGCUUGAGUCAUUUUCUGUGUGCUAUAGGCAAUUGCCAAUUGACAUGAGCUUACUUGGUUCACUUGAUUUCUUCGUGCCUUGCACGCCGCCACUGCGAAGGUAAUGGAUUUUUCAGAGACUCGGAGUAUUGCGUUGAUUGGUGGCUUAAAAGUUUUAACUAUCGUUUGGUUCGGGUCAGGUGCGUUAAUUUGUUUAGCUGGCUAUUGGUAAAGUCGGAUCUGUGACAGAAGCACAUGAGUUGCGACCAGACUGCAGCUCCUCAGAUGCUAAACAAGUGACUGCAUAAUAAAAAUCGUUGGGCUGGAUGAGUUUGUCAGCUGAGGAGCACAUUUUCCUUUCCCUCCUAAAGCUAGCUGUUCGAAGUCAAAGAUCAAAUGCUAGCAGAUUGAGUUGGUAUGGUAUAUGCCUUGGUCCAACACAGUAUGCAUGCUCAUAUGAACUUCACCUCUUUGAGGCAACUGUUUUUCCAAAAAAAUGAAUUUUUUAUUUGCAUGUAAACUUCGUCGAUGUUAGAGAAGCUAGCAAACACGCUUUCUCUUGUCCAUGCAGCAUAUACAAUCCACUCUCCCUUUUCUUAAAAAAAAAAACUUAGUGCAGUAUGCUCAAUUAGACAAUUGAGGGUGGUUUUUGUCCCUCGAAGAAUGGGCAUACACAAUACACUCAUUUUGUACAUACCAAUUAAAAAAAUCAUAUUUUUUAGAAAAAUAAUAAGAUAGAUUAAACUUGUAAUAUUUCACUUUACGGACAUGAAAAUUAAAAUUGUAUCCAUAGAAGUGUACAUAAAACAAAUCACGACUGUAAAUAUAGUAUACACUUUUGAUCGUUAUUGUUUCUAUUUAUAUAAGUCGAAGUCAUUUUUUUUUUAAAAAAAUUAAUGUUUGUGUCUUUGGGUGACGGUGAGCUAGAGCGGAGUUAUGGGAGCUGGUAGGGAAAACCGUUAGCUGGAGGACAUGGCUGUGUUCGGAGUCCAGUGAUGGAAGCCAAUCCCUCCCGUACGGAAAACGAAGCGGUCCUUUAGCGCGUGAUUAAUUAAGUAUUAGCUAAUUUUUUUAAAAAAAAAUGAAUUAAUUUGAUUUUUAAGCAACUUUCGUAUAGAAAACUUUUUAAAAAAAACGCAUCGUUUAGUAGUUUAAAAAACGUGCGCGCGGAAAAUGAGGAAGAUGGGUUGGGAACAUGGGGAUGCAAAGACAGCUGAUGUGGUAGAGUCCUUGGAUAGACCAUGUGAGGCCGGUUUGGCUGUUCAAUGGAGCAUCCUGUUUAGGUAGGACUUGGAUUUAGGGCCUGAUCGGAACUGCUAUCUGCUGCUGCCGCUAUGGCUGUGGCUGUUUUUCAGCUGCUGCCGCUGCAGCCAUUUUUAGCUCUUGCAGCCACAGUUGCUGCAGCAGCAAGCAGUAUCGAUCACACCCUUUAAUUCCAAAUGCUGUGCCGUACGACGGUACGAGGUACGAGCAGGUCAGCGGGUCACCAGUGUUGUGUGAAGCCAAGCUGUAUUCACUAGCUCGGGAUAGUUGGCACAAACGGCAUGAAAAUGUGGCGCCGUAAAUAAGUGAAAUACAGCUGCGUACUUUUUGAACACGCUGCAAACAUGAGACGGAGAAAUUUCAAUGCAAAACGGAAAAUAAAACUGCAAACAUGCGACGGAGAAAACUCAAUGCAAAACGAAAAAAAAAAUGGGAGCCUGUCAGAGAACCUGAGAGCCAUCCUGGCCAGGCGAGGCCCGGCAAGAAACGAUCCUCUACAGCCGUGGGAUCAAAUCAGCCAGUGAUCCGGCCGUUAAUCACGCUCUGGCCCACAGGUCAUGCGUCAUCAACCAAGCUUAAGUGCUUGCCUCCUUAUUAGUCAAGGAUGCAACGGUACGAGCCUAUAGAACAGAUCCCGUUCAAGUAAGGUCGUGCCACGGAUCAUCUGCACAACUCUUUUAAAUCAGCUUUGAUCUAUGUGGAUAGCCGAGGUGGUACUAAUACUAGUCUUUGUUGUCGUCCAAUUGCGUAAUGGGCCGGCCCAUACUGCAAUACAUGUCCUGAAAGGCUUCAUGGCCCACUACGAAAUGCUUUUCUCCUACAGUUUAUCUUACUUCUUCACAUCACGUGGUUUCCAACGUACCCAGUGUUCCCGGCUUCCAGCAUUUGCUGGUAGCACCAGUAGAAGACGCCUGUCUUGUGCUAUGGUCCCUGACUGCACAUCUGAUUCCUCCAAGAUCCAUGCAUGCCUGAUAACUUUAAGUUGCUUCAGAAGAACUUUAAGUGAUCUGUUCGUAUGUUUAAAGAUUCCUUGAUAAAAUAAGUUGCAGUUCUGAAAAUCCUAGAACUUGGAGACCUGGAUGAAUUACUGUCAUCUGAACCAAAUAAGAGAUGGCCUUAGCCACUAGCUAGAGAGACUGAAAUUCAGGGGCAACAAAUCCACGAGCCAACGUGAUCGCAAUUCACAUGGCAAAAAAACCACGGGGCAAUUUAGUAACAAGAAAUUUUCAUCAUCAUCUUGAUAUAUAUACACAUCAAGGAAGCAACCGGCCAAAUCUCAAGCCAUGGUUUGCUACUUCAGCUCUAGCUACGUACUAGUAUCUCGAGUUUAUACACUAAUUAGUACUCCAGCAGCUGAUGUACAUGACCGUCCUCAACCCCUCCUCGGCCUUCUCCGCUCUCCUCCUCUCCGCCACCGCCGCCGCGGAGGCAGGCAGCUUCUUGCCCUGCGAGACGCCGGCGGCGUUGGCCUUGGCUGCCUUGUGGAUGGACCGCAGCGCGUAGUUCCAGCGGCAGAGUCCGCCCUGGUCCUUGAGCGCCUCCACGGCGCCCACGCUCAUCGCCACCAUCCACGACGCCUUCGCUGCACCCGCCAUUGAUGAGAUUGAUCCGAUGAUCUCCUCUUUAAAUUUCUCGCGCUGUUGUUGUUGUGAUUUGUGAACUGAAUUGAACGAUGCUUUGUUGUUGUUGUUGAGGAGGAGGGUUGGAGUGGAGCUGGAUUUAUACUGGAGGGAGGCCAGUGGGGGUGGCGCGAAACAGGUGGCCGCGCUCGCUGGUUUUCCCGCGAUACCGGGUGCUUCCUUCAGCCGCUUGCUCCUCGCUAUCUGUCCCGGCUGGGUUGGUGACUCACCAUCUUGGCGCCCGUCCCGUCUCGUCUUUGUCCCACACGCGCAAGUGCGCAACUGGCAGAUUCGUGGGGAUUCGUGGGGAUAAUAUGGGUUUAUAUGGAGUAAGGUGACAAGGACGCGCGCCACUAGCGAGCUGAUGCAUCCCACACAGUUCUCUUCUCUCGGCGCCUAAUCCUUUUUGGGCUCUCGAAUCUUAACAUGGACGAAUCUAAGGCCCAUGUGAUCAUACGAAGGCCCGGCCUGGCUGUGUGUCAAGCUAACGUUAUCCGGUUGCACACCACCUCUUCCUCCUGUCCCUCGUGUUUGUGUCACGUUCGAUUCUCCCAAGCUGAUCUUGUGUCGCCGGAAUUGAGCAGGGGGGGACGUGCCGCGACGGAUCGAGGCGAUGCGGCAGGCGGUCGGCUUGUGCAAGGCCCAUCAACUUCGGCCGGCCGCGCUGCUGUCCCCGCGGCCGUUGCUCCGGCGAGCGUCCCCCUGCCUCCCUGCAGGUGGUUACAAGUUACACUACCUCCCACUGCAUCGGUUCUUCGCGUGUGUGCUUACUGCUUAGUGCUAACUGGAUGCAAUUGUGCAGCGGGAGCGGGUGGGGAGCUCAGGAGGGCCAGCGCCGCGUCGCGGUUGGUGGUCAGGAGGAGAUGCCAAGAAGAGGAGCAGCAGCAACAGCAGGAGGAGGAAGAGCGGAGCAAUGGCGGUGGUGGUGAUGGGGAGCAAGAGCAGAGAACAUUUCUCAGCUUGGAGGAGGCCGGGCUGGUGGAGAUGUCCGGCCUCAGCACACACGAGCGAUUCCUCUGCCGCCUCACCGUAAGUGUGCAUCUCUACUGAUCGAUUGCAAAGAUAUUACAGUGGCGAGCAGAUUAGCAUAUCAAAGUUGUGAAGUUUAGGUGAGGUGUUUGUCUCAACGAGCCGUUGACGAUGACGAGUAACCAUGUGAUUUUUUGUGACAGAUAUCGUCGUUGAAUCUCUUGAGAGUGAUUUCGGAGCAAGAAGGCGUCCCCAUUGAGGAGCUCAACGCAGGCCUUGUUUGCGACUGGUUCGUCAAGGACAAGCUCAAGAGGGAGCAGAACGUGGGCUCAGCUGUCCUGCAGUGGGACGACCCUGGUUUCUAGCUCCAUCAUCCGUUUAUGGAUGAUGGUGAUUUGGUGGUCUUGCCGGCGUCUCCACCGAGAAACAGGGUUCAUCAAGUCAACAUUUUUCUCGGUUGAUAGAGCUCACUGAUCACUUUCUUUGAAUUAAAGAGGGUUCCUUUGUCUUGCGACACUCGUUGUGCCUAAUUGGGCUUUUUACAUGUCAGUACAUGACGACCUGUAUCACUUCCUUUGUAUGCCAGAGACCAAAGCCAGAAACACAGCUUAAUUACGAAGAAUCAGUUUCAAGAAUAUAUGGAUCAGAAAUUGCUGUCGGAUUGUUUUCAACUUUUCAUUUCUAGCAUUCAGUUGAACAUUUUACUCAUCAAUUUUCAAAGUACUUGCAAAUCCUAGAAAGCCCCAAUACUUCUUGUCGAUAGUGUAAGGCUAGGAGCUUGUUCAUAAGGUCAUCUGACUUCUUUUGGCAAACAAUAACUUCACGCAGGUGUUUUGAGUCAAGGAGAUACACCAAAAAUGACUUUAUGCGUGCUACAGAAUGUAGCCAAGUACAUAUGCCCAGAUGUGCCAAAAAAAAUUCCGCAAGUAUGGGGAGAUAUUACAGGCACGACAGCAAAUGCCAAGUAGCUAACAAAAGUAUUUGUACGUCCAUCAAACAGAAUUACAGUGGACCCUGGCCCAUGGGUGAAUCAUCGGCCAACAAAGAUGCCUACAAACACACAUAAUCACAGUACAUAUCUUUUGUUUCCUUAGGAAAUGAUUUCGCUGGACUUCUUAUCAAAAGAGUGAGUGCACCAGAUGCAAGUCCAACGGGCUCACCAACUCCUUCAGCCUCUCCAUUUCCUUCUGCAAUCACAAUAAUGCAACUUAUAUCUCUAUGCUCACUAUUCAGGCAUAAAAAAAAUCAAAACAGGAAAACACCAAAUGUCUGAGAUGUAUGAGUUCAUGUCAUAUUGCAUGCUGUUUCAGGCAUAAAAGAAUCAAAACAGGAAAAGAGUUGAUGUCAUAUUACAUGCUGUUUCACCAAGUAGGUUGUCUUAAAAGAAGAUACUUGGAUCUACAACAUAUCCAUUUUGCAGACAGAACAAUCAUUGACAGUUCGUAAGUGAAGCAAUCAUAACAAAUGAAACAGGGGGGAGAGCAGCAUCCCACAAAACAGGGAAUUAAAUCAUAACAAAGGCCCAGUAAAGCUGAAUGAAAACAAUAUCAUGCAACAGCGCAUUGCACACACCCUCAACUUAACAAGGGCCACAAGCAUGAGUUAAGAGAUAGUGCCUCAAAUUUAUCACUUGAUGUCAUACUAUCUACUGCUUCCUCAAGUAUGUUCUCCCUGAAUCAGGGACUUGAAUCCACAGAAUAUAUAUUUUGCAGACAUGAUCAUCGUUGAUAACAACUAGAAAAGGCACAAAACUCAGGGCAUGGCUCUUUGAUAGGAUACAUGAUGAGCACAACAAGACUUCCCUAUGACUAAAAAAUUCAACAGAAUAUCAAAUGCAUCAGAUUUAUCUGUUGAUGUCAUGUUAUCCACUGAUUUGUCAAGUAGGUUCUCCCUGAAACAGGGACUUGAGUCCACAGGGCAUCCAUUUUGCAGACAAUAUCAUCAUUCGCAAAAAACAUGAACAUAAGUUUGAAUACAUCUCUAUCAAGUAAUAAUGCUCAGUAAAAACUUGUAACAAAUAGGAGUACCAACAAGUAGGUUCAGACCUCAGUAACAGCCCAUUAAUCUCAUUAUAAUGUAGGCCCCCCAAGUAGGUUCUCCCUGACUAACAGGGACUUGGAGAAACCUACAUCUCACAUUUUGGGCACUGCAUCAUAGGUCACAUUCUAUUACCAUCUAAAAUAUCUUCUCUUACAUACAAGACUAUGGCUACAAAAGCGAGUUACAAUUCAAAAAAUCAUGAGCUACUUAAUAGUAGACUUCAGUUUAAAAAGCCCAUAUAACUCAUUACAAUGUAGGACCCCAAGUAGGUUCAAACCUGAAAAACAGGCCCUUGAAGCUACCUACAUCUCACACAUUGGGCAACUCUUCAUAGUCUACUAAUGAAACAAAAAAAAUACAACAGAUGGCAACUCAAAUAUUGCUUGAACAAGCUUGCACUAUAAUUAAGAAUACUGUAAAGAGGGCUUUCAAAUUUAUCUCAUACAAUUCAUAUAGCGUGAUAACCUCAGAAAAAGCAAUCAAAACCGUACUAAAUUACGCACCAAACAAAAGCAUUGAACAUGAUUGCCGAGAUUGUCUUAAACCACGUUUCUCAGCAAACAGAGACUUAAAAAAUAAUAAUUAAUGUGGUGAGACAUUUUAGAAGCAUAACCACCAGAUUACUGUUAUCUCCCACGUUAAACUCACCAGAAAUCGAUUUUUGCCUCCAUGACUGGGCAACCAUGAGAAAGAACAAUCUCAAGGAGCCAAAGGUGAGGAGAGGCACGCACAUGGCAAAUACUACCUCAAGAUUUCAUUCGAUUUUUGCACAUCCUCUAUAGCUAUAAUAAUAAACAAAUUAAUCAAGAGUCUUACCCAUCAUGAAUCGGUCUUCUCUGGCGAAUUAGAGGACGGCGGAGAAGACCCAGAUGCCGCGGGAGGAGCAUCGUGUGAGCAACAACCACCGGGGCCGUGAUGAUGGUGGUGGUGAUGGUGGUGCUUCUUGGGCUGCGGCUGCCGCAGCGGCUUGCGCAUGUCGUAGGCGUCCUCGCCGUCGGCGUAGUACUUGGCCUCGACGUCGUGGAUCUGGUACCCGAGCGUGGAGGUGUAGAGGUUGAAGGCCGCGCGGUUGGAGCGGCGGACGUGGAGGGAGACGUACUCGGCGCCGAACACCUGGUCCAUGGCAGCCUGCGCGGCGGACAUGAGCUUGGUGGCGAGGCCGAGCUUGCGGUGGGAGCGGAGCACGGCGAGGGAGGUGAUGUGGCCGUGGCAAGGCUCCGAGGGGUCCUCCUCCAUCUUCGCGAGCACGUAGCCGACGAUCCGGCCGCCGUAAUCCUCCGCCACGAACAGCAGCUGCGGCCACGACAGCAUGUGGUAGAGGUAGUACUUCAUCUGGUAGUUCUCCGGCAGGCACAUCAGGUUGCACGCCUGCAUCGCCAGCAGGUCGUCGAUCGUCGCCUGCCGUAUGCACACCAUCUUCGCCUUCGCCGCCGCCGCCGCCGACUACUUCUCCGGCGUGAUGUGGUGGUGGGUGAUCGCGAUGCGGACGGUGGUGGUGGCGGCGGCCUCUCCUGCGGAUUUAAUAGAGGUGAGGAGGGGAAGAGACCUUGACCUAACCCUAGAGGAAAACGGGCCGUGUAUAUGGAAAGUGGGCUCGUGUAUUGAUAUUAAUGGGCCUUGAUGGGCCGGCCCAUUGCUAUUGCUACAUCGAGAAGGGCGCGCACAACCUAGCCCACUCCGCCGCCGCCGCUCGUCCACAGCUCGCCGCCGCGGCGCCCCUCCCGGCGACGACUGAUGCUCCGCCCCCUAGCCGCCUCCACCCCGCCGUCCCCGAGCAGCUCGCCGACGCUGACCAGAGCAGAGGCCCGUACGACGGUCUCCGAACUGCUCGCGAAGUAGGGGAAGCCGCCACCGCGUUGUCGUCGCCUAAGCUUCGCCGGUGCUCGCAGGGUUUUGGUUUGGUUUGGUUUGGUCCGGUGAGUUCCUUUGCUUUGGUCAGAUAUUUCAUUAGUGGAUUAGUAUGAAAUUAGAGGAUGCUAUUCGGCUAAUAGAAUAUGGACGUAUGGAACCAAUCGUGGUGUUUUGAUAUCACAUUUUGCUGCUUGUUUACUGUUAUCGAUGCAGUGAGGGUUUGAUCAGGAAAGUGCUUGGGCUCAAGUCUGAAGCUGAACCAACACCGGCAAUGUGAGUUAUCAUGUUCAUGGUAUAUUUAAGCCAUUAGUAUCUGGUGGCUGGUGGAGCGAUGGUAUUAGAUAAGUACAUUGAUAUUGGUUGUUAUGUCGAAUUGCUUUGGGCUUUGCUUAGAAUGAACUAUUUGGUUGCACAGAGCAUCCUAUUAACUGUCACCUGAUACUUACACUGCGACAGACAUGACGCUUGACUCAUUAUAUAUUCACUGUCAACUUGUGUUUCAGGGGAGACGAAAGCAACACACUCCGUGUACUUGUGGCAACCGAUUGCCAUCUCGGCUACAUGGAAAAGGACGAGAUUCGUAGGUUUGAUUCAUUUGAGGCGUUUGAAGAGAUAUGCUCAUUAGCAGAGCAGAAUAAGGUUUGUAGGAGCUGCACAUUUUUCCAUUCUUUUCUGCUUGUGUUGCAAAAUUUAUUGGCCUGCUCAUUCUGUUGGGGGAUAACCUUCUAUUUAUGAAUUAUGAAUUAUAAUAUGAUGGAAAUCAUACUGAAUUGCAGGUUGAUUUUGUGCUACUUGGUGGUGACCUUUUCCAUGAGAACAAACCUUCACGUUCAACCUUAGUUAAGACCAUUGAGAUUCUACGGCGUUACUGCUUGAAUGACCAGCCAGUGAAGUUCCAGGUUGUCAGUGAUCAGACAAUCAACUUUCCAAACAGGUUUUGACGAUGAGUUAUAUCACUCUAUCAUGCCAUUUUUUUCUUGAGUGUACUCUAAAUUUGGUGAUCCCUCAAUGUAAUCUUUCAUAAAAGUGUCACUUUUGCUGAAAUUUAGGUUUGAUAUAUCAUACGUGUAUGCAGAUAUGCAUUUUCCCCUUAAUUUUCUUACAUGAAUUUUCUUGGUACAAUCACAGAUUCGGCCAAGUAAAUUAUGAAGAUCCAAACUUCAAUGUUGGAUUGCCUGUGUUCACUAUCCAUGGAAACCAUGAUGAUCCAGCUGGUGUGGUAUGAGAAUCUCGUUCUGACAUUCUGUUAUUAUGGUUAUUAUGCUUAUGAUGGGUGCCAGCUUUUCUCAUGCAUUCUUGCCCCUCUCUGUAGGAUAAUCUCUCUGCAAUUGAUAUUCUCUCAGCCUGCAAUCUUGUAAAUUAUUUUGGGAAGAUGGACCUUGGUGGCUCUGGUGUUGGUGAAAUAGCAGUCUAUCCUGUACUCGUAAAAAAGGUGCGCUACUUCAGCUGCAGGCAAACCAUGAACUCUCACAUGUUAAUCCUCUGUUUUUCCUGUUAUUUCAGGGUACAACUUUUGUUGCGCUCUAUGGCCUUGGAAACAUUAGAGAUGAACGAUUAAACAGGAUGUUUCAGGUGCAUUUCCAUUGACUUUUCUAAGAAUUUGAAGUUAAUUCGCAACUUGGCAGCACUAGAGCAAGAAACUUUCUUGAUCAUUUGAACAUUGAUAUCAUAUUUUUAUAUCAAUUAUUCAGACACCUCAUGCUGUACAAUGGAUGCGACCUGAAACUCAAGAUGGAAUGUCAGUAUCUGACUGGUUCAAUAUUCUUGUUCUUCAUCAGAAUAGGUAUGGGCGGUGAAUGAAUGGUGACAAACUGUAGUGGAAUGUCAGUAUCUGACUGGUUCAAUAUUCUUGUUCAUUUUUUUAUAAUCUUCAUGCCGCUUACUGAAAAGAAAAUUGAAACCUGAAAUCAUACAGGAUAAAAACAAACCCUAAAAGCGCAAUCAAUGAGCAUUUCUUACCACGUUUUCUGGACUUUAUAGUAUGGGGCCAUGAGCAUGAAUGCCUUAUUGAUCCCCAGGUAAUGACUUGGAUUUUAUUUGAUUUCUUUUUUAAAAAAUAACGUGAAUAUGCACUUGUCAUAUGAUCAAUUGUUUAUAGGAGGUACCUGGGAUGGGUUUUCACAUCACUCAACCAGGCUCAUCAGUUGCAACCUCCCUGAUUGAUGGUGAAGCAAAACCAAAGCAUGUUCUCUUGUUAGAAAUCAAGGUCCUAUUGAAAGCUCUCCUCUUCAUGUUGAACAAAACUUCAGUUUGGUGUUUUCUCAUUCCAUUUUUAUUCUUAAACAGGGAAACCAGUAUAGGCCAACCAAAAUACCUUUGAGAUCCGUUAGGCCCUUUCACUAUGCUGAGGUAUGAUACCCCUCAUUUCAUGCUUAUUUCAGUGCUUGGGUCUCACUGUCCUAAUAUAUAGGUUGUGUUAAAAGAUGAAGUGGAUGUUGAUCCCAAUGAUCAGGCCUCUGUUCUUGAACAUUUGGAUAAAAUUGUGAGUUUUCAGUUUUCCAUGAUUUGUUAUAAUCUUUUCCAUUUUAUUGAGAAGCAUGGUGGCAUGCUGGUGUGGAAUUGGUUCAACAUUGGCUUAUUUGCCCGUUUGUUGUCAGUCUAGUUUUCUUUGUUGAAUGAAGUCGUUAACCCUCAAUCUCAUAAUACUCAAUUGUUUCAGGUAAGAAAUCUUAUUAAGAAGAGUAGUCAGCCAACAGCCAGUAGACCAGAGACCAAACUUCCACUAAUUAGAAUCAAGGUAAAAAAAACAGAAGAGAUGUACUCCGCACAAAUUAAUCAAGACAGGAACAAUGAAAGUGCUCAUAUUGUUCUGUAGGUAGAUUACUCUGGGUUUUCAACAAUUAAUCCACAACGAUUUGGUCAGAAGUAUGUCGGGAAGGUAUCUGAGUCCCUAAUUAGGUUCUUACUCAGAAUUCUUACCUGAAUGAGCUUAUUUGAUAGCUUCUUGUUGUAAGGUUGCAAACCCCCAGGAUAUUCUUAUCUUCUCAAAAUCAGCAAAAAAGCGUCAGACUACUGGAGGUAUUCCUUUAUGUUUAAGAAAGACAGUGCACAAGUUAUUUACAUAGUGGCAGAAUGCAUCAAGCUAUGAGGAGCAACAGAUGCCAUGUUAUUCUGACUUUUUUGUUUAACUGACUAUGUCUAUGUAUAUAUACAGUAGGCAAUAUUGAUGACUCUGAGAAACUUCGUCCCGAGGAACUAAACCAACAAACUAUUGAAGCUUUGGUUGCCGAAAAUAACUUGGUACUUCUUGAAACUACAUAUUCUGUAUUAUUUUGCAGUUUUGCUCUUCUCCUAGGAGAAAUAAUUGCUGCUAUCUGUUUUUCUUGAUGGGAUUCCAUUUAGUUGUAUAUAUGAUGAUCAUAAAUGUAAAACAAAGAUCUUGCCUUUUUCCUAUACUGCCUUAUGCACUAAAUGGAUGGUAAUGUGUUUAUUCUUGACUCCUACAGUAUUAGGCUGAAAUAUAAUUAAAUUUUCAGAAAUAUAAUGGCAAGAAAGGUACUUCUGGCUAGGAGGCCCAUUAUGGUAGCUAUUGAAUAACAGCCAAUAAUUUAAUGAGCGACAUCUCUAUCUGGUCCCAUUACACUUCACCAUAUGAGCUUUUUACAAUAAUAGCCUGAGACUAACAGUGGUACUGUGAAACAAGGACUAUUUAAUUGUCUUAGUUGGGUUUGUGGGUCUGGAAUUCCUGAUUUUGUUCUAUAGAUUCUUUGGAUAGCUUCUUACAUCCUUCUUUUUUUUAAAAAAAAAUAUUAGAGUAACAAUAUAAGCUUCAUGACACAAAUCUUGUUUCCAGAAAAUGGAGAUUCUUCCAGUUGAUGACUUGGACAUUGCAUUGCAUGAUUUUGUGAGCAAGGAUGACAAGAUGGCGUUUUAUGCCUGUUUGCAGCGGAAUCUUGAAGAAACCAGAGUAUGCUUUGCUACAUUUUCUAUUGUUGGUUUUAGUUCUUUUUUUUUAUCAAAGGGCCGUAGCUCUCCAUUUCCAUUAAUAGAAAUGAGACUAGAAUACAGAGGUAGCCUUUUUUAGUUCUUAUUUGAUUGCUUGCUGCCUGAUAAAAUUGCAUGCAUCUAAAAUUGAAAUCCUUUGUUGAAACCUGCAGACUAAAUUGAAUUCAGAGGCAGAUAAAUUUAAAAUAGAGGAAGAAGAUAUAAUAGUCAAAGUUGGCGAGUGCAUGCAGGUAUUUGGAGCAAUCUACUAUUGUUCCUAUGAGGUUGUGGGGUGAUUAAAAGGUUAAUAUUUUUAACUACUUAGGAACGUGUGAAGGAAAGGUCCCUCCGCUCCAAGGAAGAUUCACGGUUCACGUCAAGCUCUCAAAACUUGGUGGUUUCAAUGUCCUUAUGCCCUUAAUGUUGUAUGCCAUUUUUUCAUUGUUGCUGAUUGUUUGUUGCUCUUAUGAUACUUGACCAGGAUACUGGAGGUAGAUCUGUUACAGCUCAAAGUAACCUGAACUCUUUCAGUGAUGAUGAAGACACCAGGGAGAUGCUUCUCGGUGCAAGAACAACUAAUGCUGGAAGGAAAGCAUCUGGAUUUACAAGACCCUCUAAAGAUGCUACCGAUGUUGCCAAAACUGGAACUUCCAGAAGGGGCAGGGGAAGAGGGACGGCCUCAAUGAAGCAGACCACUCUGAAUUUCAGCCAAUCAAGGUUAUUAAAUUAAUUGCUACCUUGCAUUUAUACCAUAACUGUGCAACCUAUGCCAAAAUGGAAUAGCCAUGGUACAGUCUAAUUUGCAUUUUGAGUGUUAAAGGUGUUUGAAAUCGUGUGCCCUGGUUUUAACUCUGCAGUAGAUGCUCCAAUGCUAAUUUUACCAUCCAAUAUUUUGCAGGUCAAGUGCUGCUAUCCGCAGUGAGGAAGUGCAAUCUUCUUCAGAUGAGGAAAAUGAGACUAAUGAAGCAAACGAAGUUGUUGAAUCUUCAGUAUGAUCAUUUCCUCUAUUUGUAGUUCUGUACUUUUUCUGUAUUAAUACGCAUAAAUAUAAUGUGCGCUUUUGCUCGUGGCAAAUGACCUGGUGAACUGAAACAUUGUAUAUUCUUGAAUACUCACAGGAACCGGAGGAGAGUCCCCAACAAACUGGACGGAAAAGGGCAGCUCCUAGAGGUGGUAGAGGUAGGGGUAGAGGCGCUACUGCAAAAAGGGGUAGAAAAGCAGAUAUUUCAUCCAUCCAGAGCAUGCUGAUGAGCAAAGAUGAUGAUGACGAUGAUGAAGAUGACAGGCCGAAGAAACCUCCACCUCGGGUAAGUGAAUCACCUUGACAUUUUGUCAGUUUGACGGGUCUUCUUGUGGUUUGUCAUUAAAUUGUUUGCAUUGUGUUGUGUACACGCACUGAUACUACAAACCGUUGGUUUUACGACCUACAAACUGUUUUUUUUUUAGAAUACGACCUACAAACUGUUGGUUUUACGACUUUGUGUUACUCUGCAGGUCACUAGGAACUACGGAGCUGUUAGGAGGAGAUGACCUCUUGUUAGUCUAAGUCUGCCUGGCAAAUUAAGUUUCCAAUGAACUACUGGAACGCCAACUCGCGUGAUUUGUACAUUCCUUAGCCUCAUGGAUUUACGUGCUUGUAGCUGCUAAAUGCUGGAUGUCAGUUUGUACAUUGGCAACAUGACAUUCAUGCGGGCACAAGGGAUUCUCAUCAUCAAUAGUAGGUGUUCUUCAGAGACUAGAAUAUACGUUUUCAUGAUUCAGGCGUACCUGACCGAGCGUCCGAAAGUUGUUCACGACAUAACACUCUGCGUUGGCCAAACCAAUACUAAUUGAUCAUGCAAAAGUCGUAAACUGGAUACAUACGGAGAAUGGUUUAUGCGUGCAUAUAACUAUACAAAAAUCUGCGAGCCGAACUGCCAAAGGUUCCCUGGAACCUAUAGGUCACGCACUCGCGCAUAUCUACUUAAACUACUUUUCUUGGUACCAUGUCCAGUGUUCGCUUAUCGCCACAAAUUAGCUGCCUUGCUAGAUAUGCCAAAUGCUCGUCUGUGGAUUCAUAUAGUUUGGUGGAGGAGCUCCGUAAGGAGGCCUGGGGACUGGAGCUGAGUACUGUGAUCCAGAGUUGUGCACAUCUGUUGUCAGUCAAAGAAAGAUGUGUUAGUUUUACUUCAAUGUUAGCACACUGUCAGUCAAAGAAAGAUCUGUAGUUUUACUUCACGGGUAGCAACAUAAUCUCUAAUUCCAAGUAGCCAAUUAAUAGGUCAAAGAACCCUAUGAUGAUGAGUGCUAAUGUACUCAAAUGUGCUAUAAAAGUUUCUAGUUACAGAGCUUAUUUUUCUCACUUCGUAAUUUUAAGAGUUUGUAUAGUGAAUCUGUAAUCCACCAAGUUGAAUUAGCUUGUAACAAAAUGAACUGAAAAGAAAGAGCCUGAGCUAGCCACUUACCGUGAGAAUGCUGCAUAUAGGGCAUGUAAUUGCCACUGCCAGAAUUGUACACGGCAGGAUGUGUAUUGAUAGGCCUUCCAACAGAAUUUGCCGCUUCAUAGCCAGAUCUCCCAUAGGCUUCAUUUGACACAACUGCAUAGGACUGGUUCCUGUCACCAAUGGGAGCUUGAAUUCUUUGUUGCAUAUCGGUGUUCAUGCUGUAAGGAUUAGGAUUGUAUGGACCUGGGCCACCAUUGGAAUCAUAUACGCUAUUUCCAUGACCGGGAAAUGGGGUAUUUGGAUAUGUUGAAUGGCUUUGGUAUUGGUUUGGGGUACUGGGGUAGUUCAGAUGAAUUUGAUGUUGGGUUGGGUUACUUGGGUAGCUCGAGUGAAUUUGAUCUUGAUAAGGGGUACUUGGGUAGCUUGUCGAUUGGGCUUGAUGUUGGUAUGGGGUGCUUGGAUGGUUUGAUUGGAUUUGUUGAUGUUGGUAUGGGGUAUUUGGGUAGCUGCUUAAGUGGACUUGAUGGUGGUUAAUCCCUGCUGGACUCUGGAAACCCUGAACACCCCAUGCUGCCUGUUGGUGUGUCAAGGCCCUUGGUGUCUGCACACCACUUCCAUAUGGACUGUCCAUUUGUCGGUGAUAACCUGGUGACAGAGAUGGCAUUGUCCCAGCAAUAGUCCCACUAUAUGUUGAGCUCACCUGUAAGCAUCUACGUUAGGACUUGUACAUGAAUCAAAAGAUCAAGCUAACCCAUGAUGACAAAACAUAGGACCAAAUCCAUAAGCAGCAAUAAUGGUAACAUACAUUUUGGUUACUGAAAUUGGCAUAGCUGGGAGUUGAGGCUUUUGGCAGCAAACGUUUCAUCUCAUCCAGGUUUCUCUGGGCUUCAUCCCUGGAAAGCUCUACAAAGAUUACCUGCACAUGUUGAAAAGUGUAAUGAGCUAAGGAAAAACUUGAUAGUAACCAAAAGAUGGAGUACAGCAAUGCCAAGCAACCUCGUCAAAGGGCUCUUUAGAAUCAGGCAUGUCCUUGGACAGUGGUAAGACGAAAUUAGCUGAAAAUAGGUGUUUAUGGCAAUAUAGUAAGUAAUUGAUGCAUAGAACAUAGACAAUGAACAUUUCGAGAUAGCAGUGAUGGAUUUGGCUGGAUACCUGUCAUCUCAUUUACUGCAUCAGCUGGCACAUCCUUCCCCAUUUCCUUGAAACGCUUUGCUGCCCGGACCUUGAGUUCACUUGGCGAUGGGAACACAACCACAGCAGUCUGUUGCACAACAAGUAUAUGAAAUUAAACACCCCACAAACGCAUCCAACAUUGACAUUUAUUAAUUCAGCAACAACACGGCAAACUGUGAAACUGUUAUCCUUUCGCAGCUUACCUUACGGUAGUUUGCAAAUGGCCUUAGUUUGCGACUACGGGCAUUUUUGUAAACAUUAGUCUGAUCGAUGAUGUAGUUGCGAGGGAUCUUCGCAGCCCUGGUCAGCAAUGUGUUGAAAAUCAUUGUGGCACGAUCCAUCAAACGUUCAAAGCGUUCACCGUAGUUAUUCUUACGCAGCAAUCCUGGCACCUGCAAAAGGAAAGUCAUAAACUGAAAAUAGUGGAAAUCAUAGAGCAUGCAAGUUGUGAAACAAGCAUAGGAACCUUCAUUUGCACCAAUGCAAGAUUAGUCCCGAGAAGGAUAAAGCGCUUCUCCUUGUGCUCCUUGAUACACUUCUCUGCCCAUGUUGACUUCCCUGAAGCUGGGAGACCAACCAUCAUCAUGAUUUCACACUCUUUUUGUUCUGCAAACACAGGGCCAGAUACCGCAUUCCCAUCGACACAAGCUGAGGGCCAGAGCUCAUAACCAUCAACAAGCUGCAAUCCAUCCUCCUUGCUGAAUUGCAUCUCGACAACAACAUUCUUCAGCAACACAUGUGGAAAGAUUGCCGACUCCCAUUGCAUUGAGCUCACAGGAGAUUCAACCAAACCCAGCCCUUUGUCACUUGCAUCGAAGUGCUUGGCAAUGCCAAGCCACUCCCCAUUCCUGGAGAACCCGAUCGACGCCAACGGCUUGGAAUCAAGGUCCACGGCGCAGACAACCGUAUCCCCAACCCCAAACUUGACGCCAUACUCCACAAACUUGCCCUGGUGGGAGAAUUUCCCCGUGCCCCCAAACCCGAAGCUGUGGCCGGUCUCCCCGAGGGCCCCCACGGGGUCGCCGCCCCUCGAGACCCCGACGCGGCAGAGGUGCUGCUGGUCCGCGGCCGUGUCCUCCAUCUCCACGGCCUGCUCGGCGACGACCUUGCACCCGAAGCAGUACUUCCCGCCACCCCUCACGCCCACCGUGGCGCGCGCGCCCGACCAGCAGUAGGCGAACCCGCCAUCAUGCAGCGCCUCCCCCCGGAGCCCGCCGCCGCCGACGUCGAAAUCUGGCCGCCACACAGCAACGGAAGAGGGAGUGGUGAGCAGAGCGCGUGAUCGAUUGCAACCUGCAAAGGAAGAACCGUGCGUACCGAGGUCGCAGUCCGCCGGGUUGAGGCCCACGCGGGCAGGCUGGGGUUCCGGCGGGGCGUCACCGUCGCGGCGGGGGCGCUUCGGCGGAGGCGAUCGCGCGGCCUCCUCCUCCUCCCGCUCCGGCGAGGCCAUCGGCUAGGGCUCGCUGGGUUUCGCGAGGCGAGAGAGAGAAAGAGAGAGAGAGAGAGAGGAGGGGGGGGGGGGGUCGCUUCGUGCGCGCUUCGGCUUCGAUGGUUCGAGCUCGUCGUGGUCGGUUCGGUCGGUACGGAUGGUGGCAAAGGGAAGGAGAAGGCUUUAGAUAUAGGGCUGGGCUCUUGUAUGGUGCGGGCCUUAUGGGCUAUUGGGAAUCUGAAUUAGGCCGGCCUAGUACACAUUUCGGCCUUGUUCGUUUAAUUUCACACCAUAAUAGGUGUGAGAUUAAUCUCUUUCAAAUCCUCCUUAAUCUCAUUAGACUUCUGGAGCCUCGUUCAUUAGACUUCUGGAAAUAUGUGGUGUGAUUGCUUUUUCUUUCGAUAAUCCACUCUAUAAUCUAGUAAUCCACUUUAAAGAUGCUUAUUUUAGAUUAUUGGGUGGCUACCAGCUAACAAAUAGCUUAUAAUCCAGAGAAACAAACAACUCAAAGCUUAUUCUAUGUCGGCUUAUUAUAAUUCAGCUUACAGUAAUCUGGCUUAAUAAUAUAUAUUACAAUAAUUUUAAGCUGAAACAAACAGAGGCUUAGUUUAUUUAUUGAGAGAAUACGGUAGUGCAGAAGGUGGAGAACGGCUCCGCUUUUACACUAGUAGACACAAGGAAGACAUACGUGUUACCGUUUGCGCAUAAUACCAUAUAUUUCAACAGCUGAAACACACUUGUGUUUACGUAAAUGCAGUGGCGGAGCUAGAAACAAUAAAUUUUAUCUGCCAUGAAGGUGACUAUCAGUAAAUUAUUUGAAUUUUGCUUAAAUUCAAAUUAAUCUAAUUUUUUUUUGUCAAAUGGAGGGAGGUUAUGGUGGUUAUUCUUCUUUAUGUACUCCAGUAGGAAAUAAAACAAUAAAUGCAUGACUAAGAUUGAACAAUAAUGAAUCUGUUGGAUCAGUUGGCAAGUGUAAAUGAUUGUACUAACCGGGAAAUUGGUAUUAGCUAUUAAUUUAUGAAGUUAUGUAUUUAUUUUUCUUCAUGCAGACAUGUGCUCCUACGUAUCAAAACCAUGUUUCAUUUUUUACUUCCCCCAGCCACAGAUCCUUGUUGGUAUCCUUUCCAAAACAGUUAAAACCAGCUUAUCAUACUAGUAAAAAUAUUAUUAUUGUCACAACCAUCUAUCAACUUCCUAAUUAAUGGCUACCUGUAGUAAACAAAUCAAAAUGGGUAAACCAAACCAUAACUAAUUAAAAAACAAUUUACACUUGUCUGCAUAUUUUUUUAAAAAAUAUUCGAUAAUAUUGAGUUUGUUAUAGUUUAUCACUAUACUUUUAUAUACUCCAUCCAUCCCAUAAAGAUUUCAUUUUUUUUCUUUUUCCAACACUUGACUACCCAUCUUACUUAAAUUUUUUAUGGAUUUUUUAUAUAGUCGCAUAUAAAGUGCUAUUUAUAUUUUAUCAUCUAAUAAAAAUAGAAAUACUGAUGAUAGAAAAAUUUUAAAUAAGAUGAAAAGUUAAAUGUUAUAUAAAGACUGAAAAAUAGAGUUUUUAUGGGAGAGAGGGAGUAAUACGGAGUAAUAAUACACAAGUUUAUCAAUUCUUUUACGACGUGCUAUUGGGAUGGUAUAGAAUGGACUUCCUUUUCUUUUCCUACCUCACCUAACAUUUGAUGAAGAGAACGGUGAACCGGGAAAAGCCCUGUGAAUUUUCAAACUUACCCAGUCAGUGGAUGGGAUGCUAUGCGAUCAUGUGAGCGACAAGUUACAAGAUCCAAACCAGUCGUGGAGCAGUCAAGCCGCGCACGCAGAGAGAGGCAGGCAAGGCAACGCAACGAAGGCGAAGCUGCCUGCCUCUGCCGCGCCGCGCCGCGCGAGAUCUGGGCGGAAGGGAAGGCGCGGCGCGACGCGACGCACGAGAGAAACAAAAGGAAAAGGGAGGGGCGGGGGGGACAAAAACCUUCGCCGCACAAAGCGGUUACCGCGUCCCCCCAGAUCUCGUCGCCGUGCCGUGCCGUGCCCUGCCCUUGCCCCGCUGGAUACCGGCGGCGCACCGGCGCGGCCGCGCGAUCCGAUGAGGCGGCGGCCGUUCCUCGACCAGCGGCGGCCGUCGUCGUUCAAGCGCCGGUGGCAGCAGCGCCCGUGGUGGUUCCGCCUCGCGGUCACCCUCCUCCUCGCCCUCGCCUGCCUCUUCCUCCUGCUCGCGCUCCGGGGCUCGCCCGACCCCGACCCGGUGGUGCUCCCCUCCACCGACUCGUCCAGAUCCGCGGCCACCACCUCCCCUCUCCUCC
Molecule: long non-coding RNA, 22494 nt
Filed under: Oryza sativa (Asian cultivated rice)
Lineage: Eukaryota; Viridiplantae; Streptophyta; Magnoliopsida; Poales; Poaceae
Description: long non-coding RNA (OSAT_LNC000863)
Source: RNAcentral